RNAcentral lists this transfer RNA (95 nucleotides) under Grosmannia clavigera kw1407. It matches the Rfam family "tRNA". From Rfam's summary of the family: Transfer RNA (tRNA) molecules are approximately 80 nucleotides in length. Lineage: Eukaryota; Fungi; Ascomycota; Sordariomycetes; Ophiostomatales; Ophiostomataceae. The record is from Rfam by way of RNAcentral.
GGUUCCGUGGUGCAGUUGGUUAGCGCAUCGUACUAAUACAUUGCCUGUCGGGUGAAGUAAUGCGAAAGUCGAGGGUUCGAGCCCCUCCGGGACCA